This 580-nucleotide ribosomal RNA is filed under the name uncultured Dechloromonas sp. RNAcentral describes it as "bacterial SSU rRNA". It matches the Rfam family "Bacterial small subunit ribosomal RNA", at positions 73 to 649 of the family's 1533-position model. Lineage: Bacteria; Pseudomonadati; Pseudomonadota; Betaproteobacteria; Rhodocyclales; Azonexaceae. The record is from RNAcentral.
ACGGGCUUCGGUCUGGUGGCGAGUGGCGAACGGGUGAGUAAGUAUCGGAACGUACCUUUCAGUGGGGGAUAACGUAGCGAAAGUUACGCUAAUACCGCAUAUUCUGUGAGCAGGAAAGCAGGGGAUCACAAGACCUUGCGCUGAUUGAGCGGCCGAUAUCAGAUUAGCUAGUUGGUGGGGUAAAGGCCUACCAAGGCGACGAUCUGUAGCGGGUCUGAGAGGAUGAUCCGCCACACUGGAACUGAGACACGGUCCAGACUCCUACGGGAGGCAGCAGUGGGGAAUUUUGGACAAUGGGGGGCAACCCUGAUCCAGCCAUGCCGCGUGAGUGAAGAAGGCCUUCGGGUUGUAAAGCUCUUUCGGUCGGGAAGAAAUCGCAUGGGCUAAUACCCUGUGUGGAUGACGGUACCGGAAUAAGAAGCACCGGCUAACUACGUGCCAGCAGCCGCGGUAAUACGUAGGGUGCGAGCGUUAAUCGGAAUUACUGGGCGUAAAGCGUGCGCACGCGGUUUAGUAAGACAGGCGUGAAAUCCCCGGGCUCAACCUGGGAACUGCGCUUGUGACUGCUAAGCUAGAGUAC